AGAGUUUGAUCCUGGCUCAGGACGAACGCUGGCGGCGUGCCUAAUACAUGCAAGUAGAACGCUGACUACUUUAGCUUGCUAGAGUAGAAGGAGUUGCGAACGGGUGAGUAACGCGUAGGUAACCUGCCUACUAGCGGGGGAUAACUAUUGGAAACGAUAGCUAAUACCGCAUAACAGUGUUUAACACAUGUUAGAUGCUUGAAAGAUGCAAAUGCAUCACUAGUAGAUGGACCUGCGUUGUAUUAGCUAGUUGGUGGGGUAACGGCCUACCAAGGCGACGAUACAUAGCCGACCUGAGAGGGUGAUCGGCCACACUGGGACUGAGACACGGCCCAGACUCUACGGGAGGCAGCAGUAGGGAAUCUUCGGCAAUGGGGGCAACCCUGACCGAGCAACGCCGCGUGAGUGAAGAAGGUUUUCGGAUCGUAAAGCUCUGUUGUAAGAGAAGAACGUGUGUGAGAGUGGAAAGUUCACACAGUGACGGUAACUUACCAGAAAGGGACGGCUAAU
RNAcentral lists this ribosomal RNA (510 nucleotides) under Streptococcus sp. W34. RNAcentral describes it as "bacterial SSU rRNA". It matches the Rfam family "Bacterial small subunit ribosomal RNA", at positions 8 to 501 of the family's 1533-position model. Lineage: Bacteria; Bacillati; Bacillota; Bacilli; Lactobacillales; Streptococcaceae. The record is from RNAcentral.